RNAcentral lists this ribosomal RNA (915 nucleotides) under Amyloodinium ocellatum. RNAcentral describes it as "SSU rRNA". It matches the Rfam family "Eukaryotic small subunit ribosomal RNA", at positions 10 to 924 of the family's 1831-position model. Lineage: Eukaryota; Dinophyceae; Thoracosphaerales; Thoracosphaeraceae. The record is from RNAcentral.
GAUUCUGCCAGUAGUCAUAUGCUUGUCUCAAAGAUUAAGCCAUGCAUGUUCCAGCAUAAACUUCUUCACGGUGAAGCUGCGAAAAGCUCAUUAAAACAGUUACAGUUUAUUUGAUGGUUGUUCCCUACAUGGAUAACUGUGGUAAUUCUAGAGCUAAUACACGCUUCCAAACCCGACUGUCUCGACGGAAGGGUUGUGUUUAUUAGUUACAGAACCAACCCAAGUCUUCGACUUGGUCCUUUGGUGAUUCAUGAUAACCGUACGAAUCGCAUGAUCUCAAUCGGCGAUAGAUCAUUCAAGUUUCUGACCUAUCAGCUUCCGACGGUAGGGUAUUGGCCUACCGUGGCACUGACGGGUAACGGAGAAUUAGGGUUCGAUUCCGGAGAGGCAGCCUGAGAAACGGCUACCACAUCUAAGGAAGGCAGCAGGCGCGUAAAUUACCCAAUCCUGACGCAGGGAGGUAGUGACAAGAAAUAACAAUACAGUGCAUCCAUGUUCUGUAAUUGGAAUGAAUAGAAUUUAAAUCUCUUUGUGAGUAUCAAUUGGAGGGCAAGUCUGGUGCCAGCAGCCGCGGUAAUUCCAGCUCCAAUAGCGUAUAUUAAAGCUGUUGCGGUUAAAAAGCUCGUAGUUGGAUUUCUGCCGGAGACGACCGGUCCGCCCACUGGGUGUGCAUCUGGUUCGGCUUGGGCAUCUUCUCGAAGAACGUCUUCUGCACUUCAUUGUGUGGGGCGGGAUUCGAGACCUUUACUUUGAGGAAAUUAGAGUGUUUCAAGCAGGCCGACGCCUUGAAUACAUUAGCAUGGAAUAAUAAGAUAGGACCUUGAUUCUAUUUUGUUGGUUUCUAGAAGCAAGGUAAUGAUUAAUAGGGAUAGUUGGGGGCAUUCGUAUUUAACUGUCAGAGGUGAAAUUCUUGGA